Molecule: transfer RNA, 85 nt
Filed under: Felis catus (domestic cat)
Lineage: Eukaryota; Metazoa; Chordata; Mammalia; Carnivora; Felidae
Rfam family: tRNA
About the family: Transfer RNA (tRNA) molecules are approximately 80 nucleotides in length. Their secondary structure includes four short double-helical elements and three loops (D, anti-codon, and T loops). Further hydrogen bonds mediate the characteristic L-shaped molecular structure. tRNAs have two regions of fundamental functional importance: the anti-codon, which is responsible for specific mRNA codon recognition, and the 3' end, to which the tRNAs corresponding amino acid is attached (by aminoacyl-tRNA synthetases). tRNAs cope with the degeneracy of the genetic code in two manners: having more than one tRNA (with a specific anti-codon) for a particular amino acid; and 'wobble' base-pairing, i.e. permitting non-standard base-pairing at the 3rd anti-codon position.
Source: Rfam by way of RNAcentral
GCCUGGGGGGCUCAGUUGGUUGAGCAUCUGACUUCGGCUCAGGUCAUGAUCCCGCGGUUUGUGGGUUUGAGCCCCGCAUCGGGCU